This 484-nucleotide ribosomal RNA is filed under the name uncultured bacterium. Its description in RNAcentral is "partial 16S ribosomal RNA". It matches the Rfam family "Bacterial small subunit ribosomal RNA", at positions 30 to 507 of the family's 1533-position model. The record is from RNAcentral.
AUUGAACGCUGGCGGCAGGCCUAACACAUGCAAGUCGAGCGGAUGAAGGGAGCUUGCUCCUGGAUUCAGCGGCGGACGGGUGAGUAAUGCCUAGGAAUCUGCCUGGUAGCGGGGGAUAACGUCCGGAAACGGGCGCUAAUACCGCAUACGUCCUGAGGGAGAAAGUGGGGGAUCUUCGGACCUCACGCUAUCAUAUGAGCCUAGGUCGGAUUAGCUAGUUGGUGGGGUAAAGGCCUACCAAGGCGACGAUCCGUAACUGGUCUGAGAGGAUGAUCAGUCACACUGGAACUGAGACACGGUCCAGACUCCUACGGGAGGCAGCAGUGGGGAAUAUUGGACAAAGGGCGAAAGCCUGAUCCAGCCAUGCCGCGUGUGUGAAGAAGGUCUUCGGAUUGUAAAGCACUUUAAGUUGGGAGGAAGGGCAGUAAGUUAAUACCUUGCUGUUUUGACGUUACCAACAGAAUAAGCACCGGCUAACUUCGUG